CAAUGCACAGGCCUGGAUAUAGAGAGAGGAGAGGCUGCGCAGAGGACACCCAAAAAAUGAUCUCCAGGUUCUACCUCUUCAACCCAAACGACCCCUCGCCGGAAAACCAGUCACCCAGCAACGCCCUUACCCCUAACGAACACAUUGAUGCACCCUAGCUUAUUUCGACCACAACCUGCUCGAAACACACAAGCACAAAAGCAGAAAAAGGGAACAAAAUCAAACAGAAUUUUGGACGAGAACUAGGGACAGAGAAUCUUAGCUCUUCUUCGUUCCAAUUUGGGUCUCAAAUUCGAAAACAAAAACGAAAAUGAAUUCAAUUUCUGUUUUGAUUUUCCUUCAUGGAAAUCGUUUGAGUUUGUUGGUCUGAGUUUGUUGUUUCGAGUUCGAUUAAGGUGUGGUUGUUCAAGGUGUUAGUCGAGGUCGAGUUUGGCCAGAGUUAAUUCUCUUGCAAUUCUUCGUGUGUGUCGCAUCGACUGUUGCUCCGAUGUCGCCAUUGCUGUGAUAUUGGCAUCAUUUUAGUUCGAGGGUGACGAGUCGAGUUAUCAUCUGUUUCUCUGUUGUUCAUCUCCAUUUUCCAUUAUCGGAUUCAAUUGUAUUUGAUUCCAAGAAAGAUUAAUCGAAAGUCUCGCGCCUUAGGUCCGUUCGAUCUUCUCUUCAUUAUUAUGUUAGCUUGAUGCCGUGUAUUAGGUGACUUUGGUAGUCUUAUUAUUGUUUGUGUACUGAUUGUUUGAGCUAGUAUUUCAUAGUUAUAUUUUGUGGAUUAUUUUGUUUGCUUGGCCUUUCAUGAAUGUGGAUGCCAUUGUUAAGGUCGAUCUGAUUCCAUGAGCAUGUGAAGUUGAUCAUAGGAAUCUGGAAUAGCAUAAGGAAUAUGGAACAUUAAGAGAAGUGAAGGAGUUAGUGCUAAGAGUCCUAUUUGCUUAACACGCUAGUGCAUAUUGGAAAGUUCGGGAGGUAAUGAGCCCGUAUAAUUGUAGUUUAUGUCAAUCUUUUUGAUUUUGUUCGUAGUUUUUUAUAUAGAUAUACUCCGGGAGGUAAUGAGCCCGUAUAAUUGUAGUUUAUGUCAAUCUUCUUGAUUUUGUUCUCAGUUUUUUUAUAUAGAUAUAUAUAUCUUCCUCUAGUAUAAAUGAAGGUCUGCAAUAAGCUAUUUCGGUAACAUAAAGAUCUCUUGUCGUUGAAUUUGGAUGCUUUGGACACGCACAUCUGGAUAUGUGUAUUUAGCUAUUUGGAGGGCUUUGGUAAAAUACAGUUAUAUGCUUUUGUCGAAUGAGCAUUUUUAAGGCAUAGUAAAUUGUCGAUGCACUGAGAAAUCAUGGUCUGCCAAAAGUUUCAAUGGUCAGAUCAUGAAAAUUGAAUACAUUAUUACUUUAUUUUGGUUUAACUUCAAGUUUUAGAAGAUUGAAUUUUGUUUGU
This 1413-nucleotide long non-coding RNA is filed under the name Nicotiana benthamiana. RNAcentral describes it as "long non-coding RNA (NBEN_LNC006298)". Lineage: Eukaryota; Viridiplantae; Streptophyta; Magnoliopsida; Solanales; Solanaceae. The record is from RNAcentral.